GGAGAAAUUAUCCUUGGUGUGUU
RNAcentral lists this microRNA (23 nucleotides) under Dasypus novemcinctus (nine-banded armadillo). Its description in RNAcentral is "dno-miR-539-5p". Its record names the gene dno-miR-539-5p. The record is from miRBase by way of RNAcentral. Lineage: Eukaryota; Metazoa; Chordata; Mammalia; Cingulata; Dasypodidae. RNAcentral also lists the same sequence under 6 other names.